CACUUCUAAGGAAGGCAGCAGGCGCGCAAAUUACCCAAUCCUGACUCAGGGAGGUAGUGACAAGAAAUAACAAUAAACCGGCUUAUGCCGGUUUAAUUGGAAUGAGUACAAUUUAAACAUCUUAACGAGGAACAAUUGGAGGGCAAGUCUGGUGCCAGCAGCCGCGGUAAUUCCAGCUCCAAUAGCGUAUACUAAAGUUGUUGCAGUUAAAAAGCUCGUAGUUGGAUUUCUGUGGGGACGGAGCGGCCGGCCGCAACUCGCGGUUCGAGCUAGCGCUUUCCCUACAUCCUGCCGCGAACCGUGCUACCAUUAGUUUGGUGGCGCCGGGGAUCGGCUCGAUUACUUUGAGAAAAAUAGAGUGUUCAAAGCAGGCCACAUGCCUUGAAUAAGUUAGCAUGGAAUAAUAACUAAGGACUUCGGUUCUAUUUUGUUGGUGUUCGGGACUGAAGUAAUGAUUGAUAGGGACAGUUGGGGCGAUCUGUAUUCCAAAGCGAGAGGUGAAAUUCUUAGACCUUCGGAAGACAAACAGCUGCGAGAGCGUUCCGCAAGGAUGUUCCCUUUGAUCAAGAACGAAAGUUGGGGGAUCGAAGACGAUCAGAUACCGUCGUAGUCUCAACUAUAAACUAUACCAGCUAGGGAUCGGCCAACGUUAUUUUAUACCGACUUGGUCGGCACCUUAUGAGAAAUCAAAGCAUCUGGGUUCCGGGGGGAGUAUGGUCGCAAGGCUGAAACUUAAAGGAAUUGACGGAAGGGCACCACCAGCCGUGGAGCCUGUGGCUUAAUUUGACUCAACACGGGAAAACUUACCAGGUCCAGACAUAGUAAGGAUUGACAGAUUGAUAGCUCUUUCUUGAUUCUGUGGGUGGUGGUGCAUGGCCGUUCUUAGUUGGUGGAGUGAUUUGUCUGGUUAAUUCCGUUAACGAACGAGACCCCAGCCUGCUAAAUAGCGCGCGUGAGCUUUGCUCGCGGCGAGCUUCUUAGAGGGACUCUGAUGCGCGAUAGCACAUGGAAGUUUGGGGCAAUAACAGGUCUGUGAUGCCCUUAGAUGUUCUGGGCCGCACACGGGCUACACUGAUGCGUUCAACGAGUUUAUAACCUUGUCCGGUGGGAUUGGGUAAUCUUUUGAAAACGCAUCGUGAUGGGGAUAGAUUAUUGUAAUUAUUGGUCAUGCAACGAGGAAUGCCUUGUAAACGCGAGUCAUCAGCUCGCAUUGAAUACGUCCCUGCCCUUUGUACACACCGCCCGUCGCUCCUACCGAUGAAUGUUCCGAUGAAAUUUUCGGAGAGCACCUGUGAACUUGGCUCUGCCUUGCGAACGGGAGGCUCAAAGUCACUUAAAUCUGAACAUUUCGAGG
RNAcentral lists this ribosomal RNA (1354 nucleotides) under uncultured marine eukaryote. Its description in RNAcentral is "SSU rRNA". It matches the Rfam family "Eukaryotic small subunit ribosomal RNA", at positions 411 to 1779 of the family's 1831-position model. The record is from RNAcentral.